Gallus gallus (chicken) is the source of this 2750-nucleotide long non-coding RNA. NCBI's taxonomy places the organism in Eukaryota, Metazoa, Chordata, Aves, Galliformes, Phasianidae. The record is from Ensembl.
AUUUUUACUUGGAGGUUGUCUCCUUUGGGGACUUUUCUAGCAAGUUCUUUUCUGCUGAACAGGGGUCCAGGCUGGCUUUUUUUGCCUUACCCCAGUUGUGAGCUGGCAAACAUCUCCCAGAAGAUAAAUCUAAGCGGUCCUUGUGCACUUACAGAUACAUCAUAAUUUAGUCAAUACUGCAUGAGUUCUUUGGAUUACUUUGACACACUGAACAGAACUGCUGAAACCCUGCUCUUGGAAAGUACAUUGUGCUUCAUUCAUGUAGUCCUUCAAGUGACCAGUGAUUUAAUUGUCACUGUACAACAUCAUGGUGGUAUAUCAAACAGAUAUGCUAGGUUUUCUAUAAGUGUUCUAAUGCGUGAAACAAGUUCAAUCCCAGGGCUUUUAAGUUUCCAAAUUUCAUUAUUAAUAACUCCAAGAACAAAUAGAACAGGAAAAUUUUCUUUCUUUGAUGGCGGGACUUGCUAUCUUUGUCUUCUUGCAUGCUUUUUAAAGAUCAAUACAAAAUGAUAUAAGGACACAAUAUAGCAAGAGAUUAAAACUGCAUAUGAAUUGUCACUUUUCUUUUUGCCUGGAUAUCUCUAGGUGUGUUAGAGGAUUGUUGCUUAAAUAAAAACAAGAGACAGUGAUAUGCUACUAGUCCAACAUGAAUUAUUUUGCCUCUUUAAUUCACAAAUUCUGUACAUAUGAAGUUAAGUUGUCUGUCUGUUUGAUCCUCUGUCAUUCUGACACCCUUUGCCCUGCAGUUUUAACUAGAGUAGCUAGCAGACGACAUAACUUUUUACUGCAAGUUUCAUCAUUGUAUGGUGCAAAGGGCCUGUCAGAUGCUGAUGCCACUGGGAAAUUGCUACGAGAUAGAUGGAGAUUAUUUUUGUUUUACUUUUUUUAUGUCCCUUGUUCUAUUCUCCCUCUUACCUCCUUUUGCUUAAGGGGAUCACGGUGGAGGAAUUGUAAGUGUGUGAUGAAUCGAUCAGCGGGGUGCGAUAGCAGCAUUAAGCUAUCCAUCCAUCAGGACUGCAGUGCAUUUGUGCAAGUGGGUGCUGGUUGGCUGGUAUCUCAGGACUGUUCUCAAGUGAUGGAAAGGCUUUCACUUCUGAAUUCCAGACUCUGCUGUGUUAGAAAUCUUUCUAACUUGAAAUUGUUUCAGUGUAUAUAGAAAUAGUAAAUAAUAAGAUAAAAGAUUUGUUCUCAGGGGGAUAUUUCUGCAAAGCACAACAAGCUCCUUUUAUAUUGACUGUUUAAAAAAAGCCAUCCAUUUUUUAUUGUAAAGAGGUCACUGUGGACUCAAAGUAACAGAUGAAAAGAUCUCUUAUAGUAAUAUUUCAAUCUAGUUUAUUUGGCUGUGGUGUAUAGAAUGGAUUUAAAUUCCCAAGUACUGUAGGAGUUGUUUUAUCACUUUGGAGUUCUGUAUAUGUUGUCAAAUGACAUGCUGCCAAGAACAGAUAUUGAAUUGCAACUAUGGCUAUAGUAAUUGUAUGAAUCUUACUGGAGAUGUAUCUGAAAAUCUUGCAGCUGCAUGUCAAAACCUUUAUGUGGACAUUAGCCAAUGUUAAGGCUCCUGAGAAUAGCGAUAGCUGAGGAAGAGUGUGGGUAUCUUACAGAUAUGUGCCACCUUACUGAUUUCAUUAAUUCUCCCCGAACGCCUUAAAUGUGAUUUUUUUUUUGAACACUCAUACAUUAAGACCUCUGUGCUGAAUGUGAUUCCUUAAAAAGGGAAGUUCUUUUCAAAUGUCAGAGUUCAGUUUAUGCUGCAAAUUUUCCAAGGCUUGAACCAUUAGAAAACUGUUCAGGAUAAUAAGCUUAGUGUAAAAUCGAAACAAGAUAAUAAAGAUUGUCUUCGUGUCUUCCUUCAGUUAAGGAGAAAAAAAAAAAGGUCUGUAAACCAAACAGAAAUCCAAAAGACACUGUAUAAUAGAGAUGAGACUUCACAGUGAUGAACCAGAAAAGGGAUGAAAAGGCUUCCCUCUGAAUCUAAGAGCAGUCUUGACAGUGCUGACCUGCAAAGUGUCUCAUACUUCCAACAAAUGAAGUGAAUAUAGGCCUGAUGUGAACCUGUCAGAACAAAUUUUACCAGAAAUGAUUCUAGCGCAUCUUGUGUCUGGAAAAAUUCAGUGAUUUUUAAAACUCACUAAUAAGAGUAGCCAACAGAUGAUCCGGAUAAGCUGUCUGGUGACCUUGAUCCAGAUGAUGAAGGCACCCUUAAAAAGGCAACUGUAUUGGAAGAAGGCCAUUGUUUGUCUCUUUCCUAAACUCUUACUAGAGGAAUUAGAAUUCAGCGGUAGGACUACUAGUUGCUGUAGAAACCUAUUUAAGAAUUUCUGUUUUUUGCCAGAGGACAGGAAAUGAUCAGGGUGCAGAGAACCUCUUGUACCACAUGUGAGCCAAUCUUAAGGUGUUUUUCAGAAGUAGAAUAAUCUGAAAUAGAUGUGUGGUAAAAGGCAAAGUUCAUGUACAUUUAAGUGAGGUAUAUUUGUCUUACGGAAAAAUCAUGCCAUAAUGAUAAAAGAUGUAAGAGCUUUAAUCAGAAAUGUUUUUUUUUCUUACAGUAACAUAGUAUUCAUUCCAUAUUUAUUUCAACACUGAAAAUAUUCUGUAAUGACAUCAAAAGGUCUCUCUGUGCUACAGACUGUUAUCACAAGUAAGUCUUCAUUCAUAUGUGCUGGCUUAGGAUUAAUACUCAUUCAUUUGAAAGGGUUUUAUUUCAAGCAAACAAUGUAUCCAACAGAACAAAUUGAUUAAAAUCUUAAGAC